This 433-nucleotide ribosomal RNA is filed under the name uncultured bacterium. RNAcentral's name for it is "partial 16S ribosomal RNA". It matches the Rfam family "Bacterial small subunit ribosomal RNA", at positions 29 to 507 of the family's 1533-position model. The record is from RNAcentral.
AACGAACGCUGGCGGCAUGCCUAACACAUGCAAGUCGAACGAGACCUUCGGGUCUAGUGGCGCACGGGUGCGUAACGCGUGGGAACCUGCCCUUAGGUUCGGAAUAACUCCCCGAAAGGGGUGCUAAUACCGGAUAAUGUCUUCGGACCAAAGAUUUAUCGCCUUUGGAUGGACCCGCGUUGGAUUAGCUAGUUGGUAGGGUAAAAGCCUACCAAGGCGACGAUCCAUAGCUGGUCUGAGAGGAUGAUCAGCCACACUGAGACUGAGACACGGCCCAGACUCCUACGGGAGGCAGCAGUGGGGAAUAUUGGACAAUGGGCGAAAGCCUGAUCCAGCAAUGCCGCGUGAGUGAUGAAGGCCGUAGGGUUGUAAAGCUCUUUUAACCGGGAUGAUAAUGACAGUACCGGGAGAAUAAGCUCCGGCUAACUCCGUG